AUGGCAACUACUCUGCGCGAUCGGCCUACCAUCAUCGGAGCCACCACCGCGCCGUUCUGGCACCCCAUUUGGAAGACUUGGGCUCCCUCCAAUGCGAAGAUAUUCCUCUGGCUCGCCUCCCUUAAGAGAUGCUGGACCACCGACCGGCGUGCACGCCACAAUCUACCUCACGACCCCCUUUGCAAGCUUUGUAGUCAGGACAACGAGACCCUACACCACCUUCUUGUUGGCCGUGUCUUCUUGCACAUAAUAUGGCACGACAUCAUGGCAUGGUGCCGCAUACCAUCCCUACCACCUGAUGGCACUACUGGAUUCUUCGACUGGUGGACGACGACGAGGGCUAGCGUGCCAAUUUGCCUACGCAAAUGGUUGAACUCCAUCAUCAUCCUCACCUAUUGGGCAAUUUGGAAACACCGCAAUGCAACCCUCUUUGACAAUGUUGCACUCUCCUACAACAAGCUCAUCGAGGACACACAACAGGAGGCGAAACUUUGGGCAAGAGUCGGCGCCGAAUUGCUCGAUAGAAUCAUUCAUGUAACAUAG
RNAcentral lists this ribosomal RNA (543 nucleotides) under Triticum aestivum (bread wheat). RNAcentral's name for it is "partial small subunit ribosomal RNA". Lineage: Eukaryota; Viridiplantae; Streptophyta; Magnoliopsida; Poales; Poaceae. The record is from RNAcentral.